RNAcentral lists this ribosomal RNA (235 nucleotides) under uncultured bacterium. RNAcentral describes it as "partial 16S ribosomal RNA". It matches the Rfam family "Bacterial small subunit ribosomal RNA", at positions 99 to 334 of the family's 1533-position model. The record is from RNAcentral.
CGGACGGGUGAGUAACGCGUGGGUAACCUGCCUCAUACAGGGGGAUAACAGUUAGAAAUGACUGCUAAUACCGCAUAAGACCACAGCACCGCAUGGUGCAGGGGUAAAAACUCCGGUGGUAUGAGAUGGACCCGCGUCUGAUUAGGUAGUUGGUGGGGUAACGGCCUACCAAGCCGACGAUCAGUAGCCGACCUGAGAGGGUGACCGGCCACAUUGGGACUGAGACACGGCCCAG